UGGGGAAUUUUGGACAAUGGGCGAAAGCCUGAUCCAGCAAUGCCGCGUGUGUGAAGAAGGCCUUCGGGUUGUAAAGCACUUUUGUCCGGAAAGAAAUCCUUGGCUCUAAUACAGUCGGGGGAUGACGGUACCGGAAGAAUAAGCACCGGCUAACUACGUGCCAGCAGCCGCGGUAAUACGUAGGGUGCAAGCGUUAAUCGGAAUUACUGGGCGUAAAGCGUGCGCAGGCGGUUUGCUAAGACCGAUGUGAAAUCCCCGGGCUCAACCUGGGAACUGCAUUGUGACUGGCAGGCUAGAGUAUGGCAGAGGGGGGUAGAAUUCCACGUGUAGCAGUGAAAUGCGUAGAGAUGUGGAGGAAUACCGAUGGCGAAGGCAGCCCCCU
Molecule: ribosomal RNA, 382 nt
Filed under: uncultured bacterium
Lineage: Bacteria
Description: partial 16S ribosomal RNA
Rfam family: Bacterial small subunit ribosomal RNA
Source: RNAcentral